Hippoglossus stenolepis (Pacific halibut) is the source of this 968-nucleotide long non-coding RNA. RefSeq lists it as uncharacterized. The transcript has 2 exons. The record is from RefSeq and is a predicted model, not a curated record. NCBI's taxonomy places the organism in Eukaryota, Metazoa, Chordata, Actinopteri, Pleuronectiformes, Pleuronectidae.
UACCACUCCAACUACUACUACAACUACCACUACUACAAGUACUUCACAUGCUCCAGGACAGAUGUCAUUCGUGGCAGUAGGAGUGAUUUUAACAACUCUCAGCAUAUCUCUUCAGAACAUCUUUCUUGACUGAGACAUGCUGCUGCUCUGUGAUCUGUCACAAUAUGAAACCCUGCGUUUGAAGUUUUAUCCCAAAUGUGAUUUCCCAUGGUUCCACUGUAUAUUCUGAAUUUCUCCUGGGAAUCAAAUAAAAGCUUCAACGCACUACAUUACGACAUCAUUACAACCACCAAGGAGGUUGUUUGUUGUGCUGUUGAUCUAUGUUGCAUUAUACAGAGUUGUUUGUUUGUUUGUUUGACAGUAGUAAUAUGAAGAAAAUGCUGAUUUGCACCAAAGUUUUGGUUUAAUUUUUUUUUUUUUUUAUCAAUUUCCUUCCAUCCAUGUCAUUGUUCCUCUCUUUCUCCUCACUUCCUGACAGCUCUCCACUGAACAUACAAAAUAAGAAUUAUUUCAUCAUUGAUAAAACUUUCUUCACUACUUUGUAUUUGUACUUAAUACCCAGGGAUUAAAUUGCUCAGCAUAUGCGAGCAACAUUUUAUUUGCACACAACAUUGGAGGGAAAUUAAAGAGGCAAGAUAGUGAAAUUGAGUCAAAGUAGCUGACGCGACUAUGCAUGGAUAGAUCUGUUAUCCAUUACUGCUACUACUAAUAAUGUCAAAGUAUUUUUCAAAAACGAUAUUGGAAUAUAUUUAAAACCAUCAACAUUAAAAGUAAAAACUAGAGCUGCAUAUAAAUCAAAUAAAAAAGUCAAAUACAAUAAUAUAUACACAUAAGAGUGUGAUGAUGCAAGUGGAAAACCAAAGUGAUAAGUGUGGAGCAGGUCUUGCACAUUUUCCGGCGAAUUGCACAUGAUAUACUACAGAAGCCCAUUUCUGCUUGUACAAGAAAAUAAAUAUGAAUCAAAAUUA